This 467-nucleotide ribosomal RNA is filed under the name uncultured bacterium. Its description in RNAcentral is "partial 16S ribosomal RNA". It matches the Rfam family "Bacterial small subunit ribosomal RNA", at positions 28 to 507 of the family's 1533-position model. The record is from RNAcentral.
GACGAACGCUGGCGGCGUGCUUAACACAUGCAAGUCGAACGGAAAGGCCCUGCUUUUGUGGGGUGCUCGAGUGGCGAACGGGUGAGUAACACGUGAGUAACCUGCCCUUGACUUUGGGAUAACUUCAGGAAACUGGGGCUAAUACCGGAUAGGAGCUCCUGCUGCAUGGUGGGGGUUGGAAAGUUUCGGCGGUUGGGGAUGGACUCGCGGCUUAUCAGCUUGUUGGUGGGGUAGUGGCUUACCAAGGCUUUGACGGGUAGCCGGCCUGAGAGGGUGACCGGCAAAAUGGGGACGGAGAUCCGGCCAAGCCCCUACGGGAGGCAGCAGUGGGGAAUAUUGCACAAUGGGCGGAAGCCUGAUGCAGCAACGCCGCGUGCGGGAUGACGGCCUUCGGGUUGUAAACCGCUUUCGCCUGUGACGAAGCGUGAGUGACGGUAAUGGGUAAAGAAGCACCGGCUAACUACGUG